This 76-nucleotide transfer RNA is filed under the name Clostridium sp. RNAcentral describes it as "tRNA-Thr". It matches the Rfam family "tRNA". From Rfam's summary of the family: Transfer RNA (tRNA) molecules are approximately 80 nucleotides in length. Their secondary structure includes four short double-helical elements and three loops (D, anti-codon, and T loops). RNAcentral also lists the same sequence under 15 other names. Lineage: Bacteria; Bacillati; Bacillota; Clostridia; Eubacteriales; Clostridiaceae. The record is from RNAcentral.
GCUACUGUGGCUCAGUUGGUAGAGCAGCGCAUUCGUAAUGCGCAGGUCGUCGGUUCGAGUCCGACCAGUAGCUCCA